GAUGACUGAAAGUAAGUAAUGGUCUCUUAAACCAAUAAAUUGAGGUUAUAAAACCAAAUACCUCAAAUAUCA
RNAcentral lists this transfer RNA (72 nucleotides) under Acrida cinerea. RNAcentral's name for it is "tRNA-Lys". Lineage: Eukaryota; Metazoa; Arthropoda; Insecta; Orthoptera; Acrididae. The record is from RNAcentral.